CACCAUUGCGAGAAAACUGACUGACUGAGCUGAACGUGCAAAAAGUAUUUGCAUUAUAGAAGAACCACCUAUGCACCGGUUAUAAACAAUUUUAAUGGAACAUAAUCACUUAAGUAAGGUUCAAGAUUGAACCUGUUGAAGAUUGGCAUCUGAUAAGUCACCGGAGACCCAAACAGUAUACAACCCCCUGCAGGUUGAGCCCAAACAGUAUACAACCCCUGAAGAUUGAGCCCAAACAGUAUACAACCCCCUGAAGAUUGAGCCCAAACAGUAUACAACCACCUGAAGAUUGAGCCCAAACAGUAAACAACCACCUGAAGAUUGAGACCAAACAGCACCAAUAGGUCUUUCUAGGUAAGGUCUUGGUCUAAAACAGCCCAGCUGAGUGUAUGUCAUCGAUAUUUUUUGAUCACUAACUCGCGGAUAACUUUUAUAGUUAGUUUGUAUGUAUGUGUAUGUCCUCUCCCCGCCCCAUCAUCAAGUAUGGAAAGUUAAUGCGCCAGAUCUAAGUUCAAAUAAGGUUACUUCCAAACCUAACUGAGCACUCUUGCAAUCAAACUAAUGGACAAUGUUGGUCUUUUGAUCCCGUCUUUCAAACUGUGUUCUUCGCUUUUAUUGCAAAGAUCUUGAUCAGGAAAAUGUCUGCUUUUCUUUUAUUAAUAUUCCUUCUCAAAACAUGUGGGCAUGUCAAGUCGCACCAAAUGCAGACUCGAUCAUGCCAUACUACCACAUGUGGCAAGAAUGAUUGUAUUUGAUGAUGCAGGGUUUCCUUACUCUGAAGAUUUGUGAGACAGGGGUUGAAUGUUGGGCGAAUCGACUUUAUUCCCUUUUCUACCACAGAAGAUCUAUUUAAUUACAAUACAAUGCUUUAUAUUUGACAGUACUAUUUUCAUCCAGACUAAGGUAAUACAAUAUAUUCAGUGCAUCAGUUGUUUUCCUUUUUUUGUCAAUGUAUAAUAUGUAAAUGUAUGUCAUAUCCCUACCUCCCAUCAUCAAUUCAAAAGAAAUGAUUUUCAAACCCAAGUUUAAUUAAAAUUUUAGAAGAAUGAAUAAAGAACUUAUAAAUGAAUCAAAUUUAAAUAACUUCAAUCGAACAUUGUCAAUUAACGAAUGCUCUAACCUGUUCCUUGCCAACCACAUUCCAAUAUCCCUUUGAAUUGACCAUUCACACAGGGAAAACUAUAGCUUACAUUCUUGAGAUUAACACUUCCUAGACUGAAUGUAGUUGUAGGUUGCUACAGUGCCUGAAGACGGAGGCAGACGACCUCAACCUGAGGAUGGAGCCCGGACCACACCCGUGGGUUCUUCUUGUUGUAGGUUGCUACAGUGCCUGAAGACGGAAGAAGACGACCACAACCUGAGGAUGGAGCCCGGACCACACCCGUGGGUUUUUCUUGUUGUAGGUUGCUACAGUGCCUGAAGACGGAGGCAGACGACCACAACCUGAGGAUGGAGCCCGGACCACACCCGUGUUUGUUUUUGUUGUAGGUUGCUACAGUGCCUGAAGACGGAAGAAGACGGCCACACCAUGAAGAUGGAGCCCGGACCACACCUGUGGGUUUUUCUUGGUAAGGUCUUGGUCCAAUAGGGAGAGCAGCUGAGUGCAAGUAUCGCUAUUUUCAUUACUAGCCCGCGGAUCACUUUGAUACUCUUUCGUGUUAAUGUAUGAUAUGUAAAUGUUUGUGGAUAUCUUAUCCCUUUUCCAUUAUUAAGAAUGGAAAGUUCAUGCGCCAGAUCUAAGUCCAAAUAAGGUUACUUCCAAACAUUGCUAAGCGCUUUUGCAGUCGAACUAAUCGACAAUGUUGGACUUUUGAGAGAUUUUGAAACUGUGUUCUUUUUAAUUGCAAAGAUCUUUAUCAGGAAAAUGUUUGCUUUUCUUUUAUUAAUAUUUCUUCUCAAAACAUGUGGGCAUGUCAAGUCGCACCAAAUGCAAACUCGAUCAUACCAUACUACCGCAUGUGGUAAGAAUAAUAUUGUAUUUGAUGAUGCAGGAUUUCCUUGCUCUGAAGAUUUGUGAGACGAGUGUUAAAUAUUGGGCGAAUCGACUUGAUAGAUCAACAGCGUUUAUAAUUUGUAUGUCAAGAGGGGUAGAGUUUGGAUAUGUUGAGUUUGGAUUUCUUCUGGACAUUGCAUUUCCGUUUUCUACAAAAGAAAUGCAAUUUUAUUACAAUACAAUGCUUUAUAUUUAACUAUUGUCUAUAUAUUGCACUAUUUUCAUUCAGACUAAGGUAAUACAAUAUAUUCACCAGUGCAUCAGUUGAUUUCCUAUUUUUGUCAAUGUAUAAUAUGUAAAUGUAUGUCAUAUCCCUUGUCAAUUAACGAAUGCCAUUAAGCCAUUAAGGGCCGUCAACAUUUCAAUAUCCCUUUGAACUAACCAUUCACACGGGGAAAACUAUAGCUUACAUUCUUGUGAUUAACACCUCCUAGACUGAAUGUAGUUGUAGGUUGCUACAGUGCCUGAAGACGGAGGCAGACGACCUCAACCUGAGGAUGGAGCCCGGACCACACCCGAGGGUUUUUCCUGGUAAGGUCUUUGUUCAAAAGGGAGACCAGCUGAAGUUGUAGGUUGCUACAGUGCUUGAAGACGGAGGACGACGACCACACCCUGAAGAUGGAGCCCGGACCACACACGUGGGUUUUUCUUGUUGUAGGUUGCUACAGUGCCUGAAGACGGAAGAAGACGACCACAACAUGAGGAUGGAGACCGGACCACACCCGUGGGUUUUUCUUGUUGUAGGUUGAAGCAGAGCCUGAAGACGGAAGAAGAGGACCACUCUCUCAAGAUGGAGCCUGGACCACACCUGUAGGUCUUUUUGCAUGGUAAGGUCUCGGUCCAAAAGAGUCCAGUGGACUUCAGUACGAUUAACGGAAACAUAGUGCGUGAGAUUGAAGUUCAAACAAGGUUAUUUCCAAACCAUACUGAGCAAUCUUACAAUCAAUCUAAUAAAUUAUGUUGGUCUUUUGAUCGCGUUUUUUCAAACUGUUCCUCUCUGAUUUUGCUUUGUUUGCAGUCCAAUACUCCUCUAAAUUCAUUAGUGUGUGAUUUUACUUGAUAGGCUUAGAUUGAACAAUAGCAGAAACGGAGUUGAAUGUGGGGCGAAUCGACUUGAUAGAUCGACAGCGCAAAUAAUUUGAUUAUCAGGAUAAGUAUAUUGUUUUGAUAGUCCCAAUUGGUAUGGAUUUUGUUAACUGUUCUUUCCUACAACAGAAUAACUGUUAUUACAGACAAAAGUGCUGAAUUUAACACUACGCAGCCAGAUAACAAAAAGUCUGAAGGUAUCGAUUUUAUAUGUAUGUGGCGGCGGUAAAGUAUCGCCGAUUUUCUCAGGUAAGCAAAUCAUAAAAAAAUAUCUGAAAUCACUUAUCUGAAUAAUGCAUUACAUAUUCCGGGAAUAGCAGAGCACGAUGGCAGUACAUUAGCUGUUGGUACCACAUCAUCUUACAGUAAUCUACAAAAACAUUGAAGAACCACCACAAUGGAUCAAAUGCAGACCCACCAUAGACAGAAGACCUCAGACGAUGUAGCCACGACGAAUGAGUCGCCACCGAUGAGACACUCCAAAUAGGACCCAAUGACAGAUCAUAGAAUAUAACGAAAGGUUUUGCAAGGCAAUCCAUAGUCCCCGACCGGUGAAGAUUUCUAACUUUUUCAAACAAAAGUUUAGGUCAGAGGUCAAAGUAUAAGUCACGGUGAUGGGAAAAAACUAUGACCGCAAACGUCCUAUGGAAACGCCGCAUACAGCAUACUAUAGCACAGCAGAGAAGAUUGAACCCAAUUCUAGACAAGCUGCAGCUGAACAGACAGCAGACAAAAAAAGGAUCGAAUCUCGCCCUAUUACAGAUGACAAACCAGAUCGAUGCAACCACUGACGUAAGGACGGUCCAGAGCACAAGACCACCCAUGACAGAUCAAAGAGAAAAGUGUACAACCACCAGUAGCAAGACAAUAAAUAAUGAAUUCAUAACCUAUCACAAACCACAGCUGAUGGGAUCACAACCCAUGAUGGAUCAGAAAUACUGGAACAAUAAGUGGUGACCUAAGUGAAAUGAUUGAACAGACACCUACCAGAAAUUUGUAGGUUUCUGCAGAGCCUGACGACGGAAGAAUAGGACCAUAUCAUGAAGAUUGGAGCUUGGACCACACCUAAGUCUUCCUUGUUGAAGUCUCGCUCCAAACGUGAUCCCAGCGGAAUGUAUAUGUGAGGAUUGAACUGCACACAAAUAACAGUUCCAAAAUGACAAUAACGGACUACCAGCCACAACAGGCCACAUGGGAUGAACACGAAGAAACUCUCGGCAAAUAAAAACAUGGCUUCGACAGACGAGAGCUUGGUACCACCAUUCGCACAUAAUACACAAUGACAGAUGUCCAUGACCGACCAGACAAGAAGAAAUCUCCUUUCAUGAAUAACCACAGAUUACAAGUCUUGCAGAGAAUGAGAUUUCGUACCAGAGUCCAGUUUUCAUGUUGACAGGAGCAUCUCCAAACCAAACAGGAGAUAAAACGAUGUCGAGAUGCUGCGAGUCUCGAUGCCACUGCAACACCGCAGGCAGAAUGUACAUCAGUUUAAUAGAUGAAAAACAUGCAACACACCUGAUUGAUCCAAAACCUGUCAUCCUCCAAACUGAGCCACAGACAUCGCGUCCAAGUUCAGCAACAAGUUUCCUUAUGGUCGGAUUGGACUUCGCCAGUGUAUGGUAAGGUUAAUUGAAUCUAACCU
Mizuhopecten yessoensis (Yesso scallop) is the source of this 4721-nucleotide long non-coding RNA. RefSeq lists it as uncharacterized. The transcript has 10 exons. The record is from RefSeq and is a predicted model, not a curated record. NCBI's taxonomy places the organism in Eukaryota, Metazoa, Mollusca, Bivalvia, Pectinida, Pectinidae.